RNAcentral lists this transfer RNA (73 nucleotides) under Ceratitis capitata (Mediterranean fruit fly). RNAcentral's name for it is "tRNA-Gly". The record is from RNAcentral. Lineage: Eukaryota; Metazoa; Arthropoda; Insecta; Diptera; Tephritidae.
GGCCGCGGUAGCUGAGUGGUUGGUAUUGGGUACUGCCAUUCGGAAGGCCCGGGUUCAAGUCCCGGUGUGAUCA